AGUUGUGAUGAAAUGGUUUUAUUUACAAGAGACUUGAUGGGGACCGUGAAAUAGUAAAAAAUCAAACAAUCUGAAUAAGUGGUCAAGACAUGAAAAUGAAGUUUAUUUGGAUUAAAGCCGCAAAAAAAAAAAA
This is a long non-coding RNA of Rhipicephalus microplus (southern cattle tick), 133 nucleotides long. The record is from RefSeq and is a predicted model, not a curated record. NCBI's taxonomy places the organism in Eukaryota, Metazoa, Arthropoda, Arachnida, Ixodida, Ixodidae.